GUCCGUGAGGAUCUCAGAGUAAGGACAAAGAAAAUAUUGAGCUGAGCUCCCAGCUGACCCCUGAUGGACAUAGUGAAUGGCCUUCCACUGCAAUAACAAGGAAAAAGCAGAUUUAAAUAGAAGAGGAACAAAAGAAAAAUAAGGAACAAUUUAAGAUGCCCAACAUGCAACUACUGCUCUCUGCUUGUACCUUUUGGCCUCUAUCCACUCCCCUACUUCUCAGAAAACCAUUACAAAGAUGACAUCGACAUCAUUACCACACAGUGUGACCAGAAUUACAAGCGAAGAAUGAUUGAGUAAGCUGCCGUGUUGGAGAAGACUGGGUAUCAAGAAACUAAGGACAAUCUGCAACAAACAGACAGUAAGUACCCAGGGUCCUCAGCUGAAUAAGCUCCGAGAACCUAAACCCUGUCACCAACCAGGUGAGCAAGC
This is a long non-coding RNA of Camelus dromedarius (Arabian camel), 432 nucleotides long. RefSeq lists it as uncharacterized. The transcript has 4 exons. Lineage: Eukaryota; Metazoa; Chordata; Mammalia; Artiodactyla; Camelidae. The record is from RefSeq and is a predicted model, not a curated record.